Molecule: ribosomal RNA, 1368 nt
Filed under: Enterococcus durans
Lineage: Bacteria; Bacillati; Bacillota; Bacilli; Lactobacillales; Enterococcaceae
Description: bacterial SSU rRNA
Rfam family: Bacterial small subunit ribosomal RNA
Source: RNAcentral
UUGCUCCACCGGAAAAAGAAGAGUGGCGAACGGGUGAGUAACACGUGGGUAACCUGCCCAUCAGAAGGGGAUAACACUUGGAAACAGGUGCUAAUACCGUAUAACAAUCGAAACCGCAUGGUUUUGAUUUGAAAGGCGCUUUCGGGUGUCGCUGAUGGAUGGACCCGCGGUGCAUUAGCUAGUUGGUGAGGUAACGGCUCACCAAGGCCACGAUGCAUAGCCGACCUGAGAGGGUGAUCGGCCACAUUGGGACUGAGACACGGCCCAAACUCCUACGGGAGGCAGCAGUAGGGAAUCUUCGGCAAUGGACGAAAGUCUGACCGAGCAACGCCGCGUGAGUGAAGAAGGUUUUCGGAUCGUAAAACUCUGUUGUUAGAGAAGAACAAGGAUGAGAGUAACUGUUCAUCCCUUGACGGUAUCUAACCAGAAAGCCACGGCUAACUACGUGCCAGCAGCCGCGGUAAUACGUAGGUGGCAAGCGUUGUCCGGAUUUAUUGGGCGUAAAGCGAGCGCAGGCGGUUUCUUAAGUCUGAUGUGAAAGCCCCCGGCUCAACCGGGGAGGGUCAUUGGAAACUGGGAGACUUGAGUGCAGAAGAGGAGAGUGGAAUUCCAUGUGUAGCGGUGAAAUGCGUAGAUAUAUGGAGGAACACCAGUGGCGAAGGCGGCUCUCUGGUCUGUAACUGACGCUGAGGCUCGAAAGCGUGGGGAGCAAACAGGAUUAGAUACCCUGGUAGUCCACGCCGUAAACGAUGAGUGCUAAGUGUUGGAGGGUUUCCGCCCUUCAGUGCUGCAGCUAACGCAUUAAGCACUCCGCCUGGGGAGUACGACCGCAAGGUUGAAACUCAAAGGAAUUGACGGGGGCCCGCACAAGCGGUGGAGCAUGUGGUUUAAUUCGAAGCAACGCGAAGAACCUUACCAGGUCUUGACAUCCUUUGACCACUCUAGAGAUAGAGCUUCCCCUUCGGGGGCAAAGUGACAGGUGGUGCAUGGUUGUCGUCAGCUCGUGUCGUGAGAUGUUGGGUUAAGUCCCGCAACGAGCGCAACCCUUAUUGUUAGUUGCCAUCAUUUAGUUGGGCACUCUAGCAAGACUGCCGGUGACAAACCGGAGGAAGGUGGGGAUGACGUCAAAUCAUCAUGCCCCUUAUGACCUGGGCUACACACGUGCUACAAUGGGAAGUACAACGAGUCGCGAAGUCGCGAGGCUAAGCUAAUCUCUUAAAGCUUCUCUCAGUUCGGAUUGUAGGCUGCAACUCGCCUACAUGAAGCCGGAAUCGCUAGUAAUCGCGGAUCAGCACGCCGCGGUGAAUACGUUCCCGGGCCUUGUACACACCGCCCGUCACACCACGAGAGUUUGUAACACCCGAAGUC